CCAUUCGGCCGCUACACAUGCAGUCGAGCGGUAACAUUUCAAAAGCUUGCUUUUGAAGAUGACGAGCGGCGGACGGGUGAGUAAUGCCUGGGAAUUUGCCCAUUUGUGGGGGAUAACAGUUGGAAACGACUGCUAAUACCGCAUACGCCCUACGGGGGAAAGCAGGGGACCUUCGGGCCUUGCGCUGAUGGAUAAGCCCAGGUGGGAUUAGCUAGUAGGUGAGGUAAAGGCUCACCUAGGCGACGAUCCCUAGCUGGUCUGAGAGGAUGAUCAGCCACACUGGGACUGAGACACGGCCCAGACUCCUACGGGAGGCAGCAGUGGGGAAUAUUGCACAAUGGGGGAAACCCUGAUGCAGCCAUGCCGCGUGUGUGAAGAAGGCCUUCGGGUUGUAAAGCACUUUCAGCGAGGAGGAAAGGGUGUAAGUUAAUACCUUACAUCUGUGACGUUACUCGCAGAAGAAGCACCGGCUAACUCCGUGCCAGCAGCCGCGGUAAUACGGAGGGUGCGAGCGUUAAUCGGAAUUACUGGGCGUAAAGCGUGCGCAGGCGGUUUGUUAAGCGAGAUGUGAAAGCCCCGGGCUCAACCUGCGAACCGCAUUUCGAACUGGCAGACUAGAGUCUUGUAGAGGGGGGUAGAAUUCCAGGUGUAGCGGUGAAAUGCGUAGAGAU
Molecule: ribosomal RNA, 671 nt
Filed under: Shewanella algae
Lineage: Bacteria; Pseudomonadati; Pseudomonadota; Gammaproteobacteria; Alteromonadales; Shewanellaceae
Description: bacterial SSU rRNA
Rfam family: Bacterial small subunit ribosomal RNA
Source: RNAcentral